Molecule: ribosomal RNA, 253 nt
Filed under: uncultured bacterium
Lineage: Bacteria
Description: partial 16S ribosomal RNA
Rfam family: Bacterial small subunit ribosomal RNA
Source: RNAcentral
GACGAACCUUGCAAACGUUAUUCGGAAUCACUGGGCUUAAAGGGUGCGUAGGCUGUGCAGAAAGUUGGGUGUGAAAUACCUCGGCUUAACCGAGGAAUUGCGCCCAAAACUACUGUGCUCGAGGAAGAUAGAGGUGAGCGGAACUUAGGGUGGAGCGGUGAAAUGCGUUGAUAUCCUAAGGAACACCGGUGGCGAAAGCGGCUCACUGGAUCUUAUCUGACGCUGAGGCACGAAAGCGUGGGGAGCAAACAGG